UACGAAGGGGGCUAGCGUUGUUCGGAUUUACUGGGCGUAAAGCGCACGUAGGCGGAUUGUUAAGUGAGGGGUGAAAUCCCAGGGCUCAACCCUGGAACUGCCUUUCAUACUGGCAAUCUCGAGUCCGGAAGAGGUGAGUGGAACUCCUAGUGUAGAGGUGGAAUUCGUAGAUAUUAGGAAGAACACCAGUGGCGAAGGCGGCUCACUGGCCCGAUACUGACGCUGAGGCACGAAAGCGUGGGGAGCAAACAGG
RNAcentral lists this ribosomal RNA (253 nucleotides) under uncultured bacterium. RNAcentral's name for it is "partial 16S ribosomal RNA". It matches the Rfam family "Bacterial small subunit ribosomal RNA", at positions 524 to 776 of the family's 1533-position model. The record is from RNAcentral.